This 497-nucleotide ribosomal RNA is filed under the name uncultured bacterium. Its description in RNAcentral is "partial 16S ribosomal RNA". It matches the Rfam family "Bacterial small subunit ribosomal RNA", at positions 28 to 507 of the family's 1533-position model. The record is from RNAcentral.
GAUGAACGCUGGCGGCGUGCCUAAUACAUGCCAGUCGAGCGAACAGACGAGGAGCUUGCUCCUCUGACGUUAGCGGCGGACGGGUGAGUAACACGUGGAUAACCUACCUAUAAGACUGGGAUAACUUCGGGAAACCGGAGCUAAUACCGGAUAAUAUAUUGAACCGCAUGGUUCAAUAGUGAAAGACGGUUUUGCUGUCACUUAUAGAUGGAUCCGCGCCGCAUUAGCUAGUUGGUAAGGUAACGGCAUACGACGGCAACGAUGCGUAGCAGACCUGAGAGGGAGAUCGGCCACACUGGAACUGAGACACGGUCCAGACUCCGACGGGAGGCAGCAGUAGGGAAUCUUACGCAAUGGGCGAAAGCCUGACGGAGCAACGCCGCGUGAGUGAUGAAGGUCUUCGGAUCGGAAAACUCUGUUAUUAGGGAAGAACAAAUGUGUAAGUAACUAUGCACGUCUUGACGGUACCUAAUCAGAAAGCCACGGCUAACUACGUG